RNAcentral lists this ribosomal RNA (606 nucleotides) under Triticum aestivum (bread wheat). RNAcentral describes it as "partial small subunit ribosomal RNA". Lineage: Eukaryota; Viridiplantae; Streptophyta; Magnoliopsida; Poales; Poaceae. The record is from RNAcentral.
AUGUGCAGACCGGCCAAAGAUCUUCAUAUCUGGAGCAAGAAUCUCAUCGGUGACACCAAGCUUCAGUUCCAUGUCGCAUUUGAAGUGAUUUUCCGCCUCGACACUGCUCAGGAGAGACGACGACUCUCGACGGCAGAAGCGGAGCUCAGAAAAGGCCUGAAGGUCAGGUUGCUGGGCCUGGUAGCGAUUGAGCGAUGCAGAAAAAGGCAAGCUUCCCGCCUAACCUGGCUCCGUGCGGGAGACGCCCCCACCAAAUUCUUCAUGGCCAAAAUCAGCUCUAGAAGGCGCAAGAACUUCAUCAGUGCCAUAAAAGUGGGAGACAAGAUGGUGACUGCACACGAGGAGAAGGGAAAAGCUAUACAUGAUCAUUUCAACUGCAUCUUGGGAUCCACACAGCACCGACCCGCGUCGAUCAACUAGGAUGAGCUGCGAUUGCCUUCGACGCAAGCAAACGGCCUGGACAACCCGUUCUCCGAGGAAGAAGUUUGGGCUGCAAUUAAGGAUUCACCUGCGGAGAAAUCACUAGGGCCUGAUGGAUUUUGUGGUGUUUUCUUCCGUAGUUGCUGGAGCGUUAUAAAGUCGGAUGUCAUGCAGGCGUUCCAGUAG